UGGGGAAUCUUGGACAAUGGGGGCAACCCUGAUCCAGCGACGCCGCGUGGGUGAUGAAGGCCUUCGGGUUGUAAAGCCCUUUUCUCGGUGAGGAUGAUGACGGUAGCCGAGGAUUAAGCACCGGCUAACUCCGUGCCAGCAGCCGCGGUAAGACGGAGGGUGCUAGCGUUGUUCGGAAUCACUGGGCGUAAAGGGCGCGUAGGCGGCUGUUUAAGUCGAGGGUGAAAGCCCGGGGCUCAACCCCGGAACGGCCUUCGAGACUGGGCAGCUCGAGACCGGAAGAGGAGGGUGGAAUACCCAGUGUAGAGGUGAAAUUCGUAGAUAUUGGGUGGAACACCAGUGGCGAAAGCGGCUCUCUGGUCCGGAUCUGACGCUGAGGCGCGAAAGCGUGGGGAGCAAACAGGAUUAGAUACCCCGGUAGUCC
This 424-nucleotide ribosomal RNA is filed under the name uncultured prokaryote. RNAcentral's name for it is "bacterial SSU rRNA". It matches the Rfam family "Bacterial small subunit ribosomal RNA", at positions 355 to 796 of the family's 1533-position model. The record is from RNAcentral.